Molecule: transfer RNA, 57 nt
Filed under: Capra hircus (goat)
Lineage: Eukaryota; Metazoa; Chordata; Mammalia; Artiodactyla; Bovidae
Also listed under: 1 other name
Rfam family: tRNA
About the family: Transfer RNA (tRNA) molecules are approximately 80 nucleotides in length. Their secondary structure includes four short double-helical elements and three loops (D, anti-codon, and T loops).
Source: Rfam by way of RNAcentral
UGGCUCAGACGGUAAAGCGUCUGCCUACAAUGCAGGAAACCCAGGUUCAAUCCCUGG